AAUUUUUAAUCUAUUAAAAAUGGGUUUUGUAUGCUCCUUUUCAAAGUGUUUAUGCGUUAUAUAUUUUCAAAUAUAGUUCAGAAGGUAUCGAGUGCCGAAUUCUGCAGAUUGCACCAGUCAUAGAUCGCAGUUUUUUACGGAUGUAGUGCAUGUGGGCAAUCCAGUUUAGCUUACUAUCUAUAACAACACCUAAGAAUUUGGUAUCCUUGACUUUAGUAAUAACCUUACCAUUGAUGAAUAUUGAUCUAGAUUCAUCUAGCAGGAUAGCAAAUGGUCUGGUCCGUGCACAGGUGUCAUCAUAUUCAGA
Long non-coding RNA from Bolinopsis microptera, 307 nucleotides. RefSeq lists it as uncharacterized. The transcript has 2 exons. NCBI's taxonomy places the organism in Eukaryota, Metazoa, Ctenophora, Tentaculata, Lobata, Bolinopsidae. The record is from RefSeq and is a predicted model, not a curated record.